Molecule: small nucleolar RNA, 104 nt
Organism: Lemur catta (Ring-tailed lemur)
Lineage: Eukaryota; Metazoa; Chordata; Mammalia; Primates; Lemuridae
Product: small nucleolar RNA U13
Exons: 1
Source: RefSeq, a predicted model, not a curated record
AUCUUUUUGUAGUUCAGAAGCAUGAUGCCUGGGUUUUCACACCCCUGUGUGAGAUGUGCCUCCCUCAAACUUUGGUAAGACGUCAGCACAUUACUCAUCUGACG